RNAcentral lists this ribosomal RNA (477 nucleotides) under Escherichia coli. RNAcentral's name for it is "partial 23S ribosomal RNA". It matches the Rfam family "Bacterial large subunit ribosomal RNA", at positions 388 to 867 of the family's 2925-position model. Lineage: Bacteria; Pseudomonadati; Pseudomonadota; Gammaproteobacteria; Enterobacterales; Enterobacteriaceae. The record is from RNAcentral.
AUGCACAUACUGUGAGCUCGAUGAGUAGGGCGGGACACGUGGUAUCCUGUCUGAAUAUGGGGGGACCAUCCUCCAAGGCUAAAUACUCCUGACUGACCGAUAGUGAACCAGUACCGUGAGGGAAAGGCGAAAAGAACCCCGGCGAGGGGAGUGAAAAAGAACCUGAAACCGUGUACGUACAAGCAGUGGGAGCACGCUUCGGCGUGUGACUGCGUACCUUUUGUAUAAUGGGUCAGCGACUUAUAUUCUGUAGCAAGGUUAACCGAAUAGGGGAGCCGAAGGGAAACCGAGUCUUAACUGGGCGUUAAGUUGCAGGGUAUAGACCCGAAACCCGGUGAUCUAGCCAUGGGCAGGUUGAAGGUUGGGUAACACUAACUGGAGGACCGAACCGACUAAUGUUGAAAAAUUAGCGGAUGACUUGUGGCUGGGGGUGAAAGGCCAAUCAAACCGGGAGAUAGCUGGUUCUCCCCGAAAGCU